Molecule: small nuclear RNA, 105 nt
Organism: Dromiciops gliroides (monito del monte)
Lineage: Eukaryota; Metazoa; Chordata; Mammalia; Microbiotheria; Microbiotheriidae
Source: RefSeq, a predicted model, not a curated record
AUGAUUUUUGACUCACCCUAUAGUAAAAUUGGAUUAAUACAGAGAAGCUUAGUAUAGCCCCUUCACAAGGAUGAUAUGCAAAUUCAUGAAGUGUUCCAUAUUCUU